GAUGAAGAACGUAGCAAAAUGCGAUAAGUAAUGUGAAUUGCAGAAUUCAGUGAAUCAUCGAAUCUUUGAACGCACAUUGCGCCCCCUGGUAUUCCGGCGGGCAUGCCUGUUCGAGCGUCAUUUCAACCCUCAAGCCCCCGGGUUUGGUGUUGGGGAUCGGCUCUGCCCUUCUGGGCGGUGCCGCCCCCGAAAUACAUUGGCGGUCUCGCUGCAGCCUCCAUUGCGUAGUAGCUAACACCUCGCAACUGGAACGCGGCGCGGCCAUGCCGUAAAACCCCAACUUCUGAAUGUUGACCUCGGAUCAGGUAGGAAUACCCGCUGAACUUAAGCAUAUCAAUAAGCGGAGGA
This 348-nucleotide unclassified non-coding RNA is filed under the name soil metagenome. RNAcentral's name for it is "partial contains 5.8S ribosomal RNA, internal transcribed spacer 2, and large subunit ribosomal RNA". The stretch from base 1 to 120 matches the Rfam family "5.8S ribosomal RNA", at positions 35 to 154 of the family's 154-position model. The record is from RNAcentral.